UACGUAGGGGGCAAGCGUUGUCCGGAUUUAUUGGGCGUAAAGAGCGUGUAGGCGGCCAGAUAGGUCAGCUGUGAAAAACUCGAGGCUCAACCUCGAGACGUCGGUUGAAACCAUCUGGCUAGAGUCCGGAAGAGGAGAGUGGAAUUCCCGGUGUAGCGGUGAAAUGCGCAGAUAUCGGGAAGAACACCCGUGGCGAAGGCGGCUCUCUGGGACGGUACUGACGCUGAGACGUGAAAAGCGUGGGGGAGCGAACAGG
This 256-nucleotide ribosomal RNA is filed under the name uncultured bacterium. Its description in RNAcentral is "partial 16S ribosomal RNA". It matches the Rfam family "Bacterial small subunit ribosomal RNA", at positions 524 to 776 of the family's 1533-position model. The record is from RNAcentral.